CGACCGGCGCACGGGUGAGUAACACGUAUCCAACCUGCCGAUGACUCGGGGAUAGCCUUUCGAAAGAAAGAUUAAUACCCGAUGGCAUAGCUCUUCCGCAUGGUAGAACUAUUAAAGAAUUUCGGUCAUCGAUGGAGAUGCGUUCCAUUAGCUUGUUGGCGGGGUAACGGCCCACCAAGGCAUCGAUGGAUAGGGGUUCUGAGAGGAAGGUCCCCCACAUUGGAACUGAGACACGGUCCAAACUCCUACGGGAGGCAGCAG
This 261-nucleotide ribosomal RNA is filed under the name uncultured bacterium. RNAcentral describes it as "partial 16S ribosomal RNA". It matches the Rfam family "Bacterial small subunit ribosomal RNA", at positions 92 to 354 of the family's 1533-position model. The record is from RNAcentral.